Molecule: ribosomal RNA, 472 nt
Filed under: uncultured bacterium
Lineage: Bacteria
Description: partial 16S ribosomal RNA
Rfam family: Bacterial small subunit ribosomal RNA
Source: RNAcentral
AUUGAACGCUGGCGGCAGGCCUAACACAUGCAGGUCGAGCGGGGACUUCGGUCCUAGCGGCGAACGGGUGAGUAAUGCUUGGGAAUCUGCCCAGUAGUGGGGGAUAACGUCCCGAAAGGGACGCUAAUACCGCAUACGUCCUACGGGAGAAAGAGGGGGAUCUUCGGACCUCUCGCUAUUGGAUGAGCCCAAGUCGGAUUAGCUAGUUGGUAGGGUAAUGGCCUACCAAGGCGACGAUCCGUAGCUGGUCUGAGAGGAUGAUCAGCCACACUGGAACUGAGACACGGUCCAGACUCCUACGGGAGGCAGCAGUGGGGAAUAUUGGACAAUGGGCGAAAGCCUGAUCCAGCCAUGCCGCGUGUGUGAAGAAGGCCUUCGGGUUGUAAAGCACUUUAAGCGGGGAGGAAGGUUCGCGGCCUAAUACGUCGCGGAAUUGACGUUACCCGCAGAAUAAGCACCGGCUAACUCUGUG